Molecule: long non-coding RNA, 594 nt
Organism: Helianthus annuus (common sunflower)
Lineage: Eukaryota; Viridiplantae; Streptophyta; Magnoliopsida; Asterales; Asteraceae
Exons: 2
Source: RefSeq, a predicted model, not a curated record
UUAUGGCUGCGAUUAUAAGUUGUUUGUGAUUGAAUUUUAGAUGGAAACUAAUGAUGGUCGACAACAAUGGACGCAUGAGGCUAUCAAAUGCAUGUUAGAAACAUGUCUUGAAGAAAUAGGGAGAGUAGGUAGAAAUGGACAAAGCUUACAAAUGUUAUUGAACGUGCGUAUGGUGUAUUAAAAGCACGUUUUCCAAUAUUAAAGAAAAUGGCUCCCUUUUCGUUGGUUACGCAACGAAAUAUUACCGUUGCAUGUUUUGUGCUUCAUAAUUUUAUACGGAAAGGGGGUUUAAGCGAUGACCUUUUUGAUGAAUAUGAUCACCCAAAUGUACACCUUCAAGAUGGAGAUGAACAUGUACAAGAUGGUGGUGAAAAUAGAGAAGAAGAAGUACCACGACAUGGAAGUUCAGCGGACCGUGAAUUUAUGAGUCAACUUCGAGAUCAAAUAGCACAAGAAUUAAUGCAAAACAAUGUACUUUGAGUUUAUUUUACUAUUUUUUAGGUUAUUGAUACUUGGUGCUAUUAUGGUUUUUUUUUAUGUAACUUGAAUGUUAAAUGACUUUUAUCAACUAUGAUAAGUAUGAUAGUUAAAUAA